This 437-nucleotide ribosomal RNA is filed under the name uncultured bacterium. RNAcentral describes it as "partial 16S ribosomal RNA". It matches the Rfam family "Bacterial small subunit ribosomal RNA", at positions 30 to 507 of the family's 1533-position model. The record is from RNAcentral.
AGCGAACGCUGGCGGCAUGCUUAACACAUGCAAGUCGCGCGGGUGGUUUCGGCCAUCAGCGGCGGACGGGUGAGUAUCGCGUAGGAAUGUAUCCCGAGGUGGGGGACAACCCUGGGAAACUGGGGCUAAUACCGCAUGGGGCCUGAGGGUCAAAGCCUUAGGGCGCCUUGGGAGCAGCCUGCGUCCGAUUAGGUAGUUGGUGGGGUAAAGGCCUACCAUGCCUGGGAUCGGUAGCUGGUCUGAGAGGAAGAUCAGCCACACUGGGACUGAGACACGGUCCAGACUCCUACGGGAGGCAGCAGUGGGGAAUAUUGGACAAUGGGCGCAAGCCUGAUCCAGCAAGGCCGGGUGGGUGAAGAAGGUCUUCGGAUUGUAAAGCCCUUUCGGCGGGGACGAUGAUGACGGUACCCGCAGAAGAAGCCCCGGCUAACUUCGUG